GAUGGAAGAUUCGAUGGACAUGCACAUGAGUCCUCUGAGGCCCCAGAACUAUCUUUUCAGUUGUGAACUUAAGGCCAACAAAGAUGAUCACUUUAAGGUGGAUAAUGAUGAAAAUGAGCACCAGUUAUCUUUAAGAACAGUCAGUUCAUGGGCUGGUGCAGAGGAUGAUUGCACAUUGUUGAAGCAGAGGCAGUGAAUUAGAAGGCGGUCCAAUUGAAGUAACACUGGCAACUUUGAAAAUGUCUGUUUAGUCAACGGUUUCCCUUGGGGGCUUUGAAAUCACACCACCAGUGGUCUUACAGUUGUAGUGUGGCUCAGGGCCAGUGCAUAUUAGUGGACAGCACUUAGUAGCUGUGGAGGAAGAUGCAGAGUCAGAAGAUGAAGAGGAGGAGAGUGCGAAACUCUUAAGUAUAUCUGGAAAGCAAUCUGUCCCUGGAGGUGGUAGCAAGGUUCCACAGAAACAAGUAAAACUUGCUGCUGAUGAAGAUGAUGAAUGAUGAAGAUGAAGAUGGUGGUGAUGAUGAAGAAGAUGAUGAUGAAGAUGACGAGGAAACUGAAGAAAAAGUGCCAGUGAAGAAAUCUAUACGAGAUACUUCAGCCAAAAAUGCACAAAAGUCAAAUCAGAAUGGAAAAGACUCAAAACCGUCAACACCAAGAUCAAAAAGACAAGAAUCCUUCAAAAAAACAGGAAAAAACUCCUAAAAUACCAAAGACCUAGUUCUGUAGAAGAUAUCAAAGCAAAAAGCAAGCAAAUAUAGAAAAAG
Molecule: long non-coding RNA, 764 nt
Filed under: Homo sapiens (human)
Lineage: Eukaryota; Metazoa; Chordata; Mammalia; Primates; Hominidae
Description: non-protein coding lnc-ABRAXAS2-2:1
Source: RNAcentral